GAGGUAUGAUAUUUGUUUCAUUUUCUAGAUUGAAUGCAAUACAGAUUGAGGAGAAGGAGAAAGGAAGAAGGAAAUUGUAAGUGAAAUAAUUGAAGAAGCGGAGGAAUACAAAGCAGGAAAUAAACUGUAAGUUGCAUUCUUCAUUCAUUUCACAUGGCUGAAAAUGAUAAUAUUGAUAAAGUAGCCGAUUAAAGUAUAGAUU
Molecule: long non-coding RNA, 202 nt
Filed under: Nicotiana benthamiana
Lineage: Eukaryota; Viridiplantae; Streptophyta; Magnoliopsida; Solanales; Solanaceae
Description: long non-coding RNA (NBEN_LNC014359)
Source: RNAcentral